This 453-nucleotide ribosomal RNA is filed under the name uncultured Alphaproteobacteria bacterium. Its description in RNAcentral is "partial 16S ribosomal RNA". Lineage: Bacteria; Pseudomonadati; Pseudomonadota; Alphaproteobacteria. The record is from RNAcentral.
CACGAAUUUAGCCGGGGCUUUUUCUACGGCUACCGUCAUUAUCUUCACCGUUAAAAGAGCUUUACAACCCGAAGGCCUUCGUCACUCACGCGGCAUGGCUGGAUCAGGCUUGCGCCCAUUGUCCAAUAUUCCUCACUGCUGCCUCCCGUAGGAGUCUGGACCGUGUCUCAGUUCCAGUGUGGCUGAUCAUCCUCUCAGACCAGCUACUGAUCGUCGCCUUGGUGAGCUCUUACCUCACCAACUAGCUAAUCAGGCGCGGGCUAAUCCUUGACCGAUAAAUCUUUGGACCGAAGUCAUUAUACGGUAUUAGCGUCAGUUUCCCGACGUUGUUCCGUAGUCAAGGGUAUAUUCCCACGUGUUACGCACCCGUGCGCUACUCUCUAUUGCUAGAGCGUUCAACUUGCAUGUGUUAGGCCUGCCGCCAGCGUUCGUUCUGAGCCAGGAUCAAACUCU